This is a long non-coding RNA of Lagopus muta (rock ptarmigan), 489 nucleotides long. RefSeq lists it as uncharacterized. Lineage: Eukaryota; Metazoa; Chordata; Aves; Galliformes; Phasianidae. The transcript has 2 exons. The record is from RefSeq and is a predicted model, not a curated record.
AUCACCUCUUCUGGUGUUUUGUAGGUGAGCCCAGCAUAAGGAGAACGAAGCAUUGCAAGUUUGUGUGUCUGCUCCUGCUCAUCUGCAAAGUCCUCAUGCUCUGAUUCCUCCUCUGCAGUGUGGCUGUGCUGCCUUUGGUUGACAGAACAGCUGUGUCUCUUCAGAGAUGUAUGCAAGCUCCACUAAGAUAAUCUCUACCAGGCAUCCAUUCCUUGUGGGUUUCGCACAAUUCUUUUGGCACAGAUGAUGUCAUCAGUGAUGUUGCUUGAUAGCAGAUCUGCAGGGAGAAAAGCACAGCCCAGGGAAAUCACCUGAGAGCAGGACAACAGCAUAAAGCAGAUUUCCCCAUGAGGAGCUCAUCCUUCCUACUGCUGGACUGUCAUUAGCCUCAUGUGUUGAAUGCUACCUGGCAGCAUUCUGCUUCUGCAUGGCCAGCAACAGCCAUGUACAUGUUUUCUCCCACGAAUGCUGAUGUGCCAGCCUCCAUUA